AUUGAACGCUGGCGGCAGGCCUAACACAUGCAAGUCGAGCGGAGGAUGGGAGCUUGCUCCUUGAUUCAGCGGCGGACGGGUGAGUAAUGCCUAGGAAUCUGCCUGGUAGUGGGGGACAACGUUUCGAAAGGAACGCUAAUACCGCAUACGUCCUACGGGAGAAAGCAGGGGACCUUCGGGCCUUGCGCUAUCAGAUUAGCCGGGGUCGGAUUAGCUAGUUGGUGGGGUAAUGGCUCACCAAGGCGACGAUCCGUAACUGGGCUGAGAGGAUGAUCAGUCACACUGGAACGGAGACACGGUCCAGACGCCUACGGGAGGCAGCAGUGGGGAAUAUUGGACAAUGGGCGAAAGCCUGAUCCAGCCAUGCCGCGUGUGUGAAGAAGGUCUUCGGAUUGUAAAGCACUUUAAGUUGGGAGGAAGGGCAGUAAGCUAAUACCUUGCUGUUUUGACGUUACCGACAGAAUAAGCACCGGCUAACUCUGUGCCAGCCGCCGCAGUAA
This 500-nucleotide ribosomal RNA is filed under the name uncultured bacterium. Its description in RNAcentral is "partial 16S ribosomal RNA". It matches the Rfam family "Bacterial small subunit ribosomal RNA", at positions 30 to 523 of the family's 1533-position model. The record is from RNAcentral.